GUGGGGAAUAUUGGACAAUGGGCGAAAGCCUGAUCCAGCAAUGCCGCGUGAGUGAUGAAGGCCUUAGGGUUGUAAAGCUCUUUUACCAGGGAUGAUAAUGACAGUACCUGGAGAAUAAGCUCCGGCUAACUCCGUGCCAGCAGCCGCGGUAAUACGGAGGGAGCUAGCGUUGUUCGGAAUUACUGGGCGUAAAGCGCACGUAGGCGGCUACUCAAGUCAGAGGUGAAAGCCCGGGGCUCAACCCCGGAACUGCCUUUGAAACUAGGUAGCUGGAAUCUUGGAGAGGUCAGUGGAAUUCCGAGUGUAGAGGUGAAAUUCGUAGAUAUUCGGAAGAACACCAGUGGCGAAGGCGACUGACUGGACAAGUAUUGACGCUGAGGUGCGAAAGCGUGGGGAGCAAACAGGAUUAGAAACCCGUGUAGUCC
This 425-nucleotide ribosomal RNA is filed under the name uncultured bacterium. RNAcentral describes it as "partial 16S ribosomal RNA". It matches the Rfam family "Bacterial small subunit ribosomal RNA", at positions 354 to 796 of the family's 1533-position model. The record is from RNAcentral.